ACAUGCAUACAACAUAGCGUUAAUGGAUCAUAUGCCAUUAUAACUCUGCAAUUAAGCAUACUCAGGAUAGAGUAGUAUUGGGAUGGGUGACCACCUGAGAAGUCCUAGUGUUUUACACGCC
This is a non-coding RNA of Picea glauca (white spruce), 121 nucleotides long. The record is from Rfam. NCBI's taxonomy places the organism in Eukaryota, Viridiplantae, Streptophyta, Pinopsida, Pinales, Pinaceae.